AUUUCUCAAGCUUUCUGGUACUCUUUAUUGUAUUAGCUCUUAUCAAGAUAUAUCAUAAAUUAUGGUGGAUUCCUACUCGAAUACAGUGUUUGAUGGGUUCACAAGGAAUGAAAGGCUCGUCUUACAGAUUCAUCCAUGGAAGCACCAAAGAAAUAUUAAGCAUGAAAGAGAAGCCAUGGCCAAUCCUACAGGCUUAUCGCUAUAUUUUCUUAAGUCCAGCCUCAUAUCGACUUUUGGGUCAACAUAUAUGGAAAGACUUAUCUUUAGUGGUACGGAGCUAUACCUGAACUAGUAGUAACUGAACAGGAGUUGAUCAAAGAGAAACUUGAUAAUAGAAAUAGAGCUUUUCCAAAAGCUGGUAAUGAAGGCUAUAUCGAGAAGAUAUUAGGAGAUGGCCUUGCAAGCACUGAAGGAGAGAAAUGGGGGAAAUUGAGGAAACUUGCCAAUUAUGCCUUUCAUGGAGAGAGCUUGAAGUGUUGAGAUGAUGUUAGAAAGGUUGAACAUAUAUGAAAGUAGAGAGAUUUGAGGUGUUUGAAGAAAUCAUAUUGUUAUCUUCAGAAGUAAUUUAAAGAACAGCAUUUGGUAGCAAUUAUCAAAAAGGGAAAAAUAUUUUCAGAUGCUGAUGAAGUUGGAAUUGUUAACAUUCAAAAAUGCUUACAAACUUAGGUUUCCUUGUAUCAGUUAAGUUUUUCUUUAUGAAUCUAUAGUUGGAAAAGAAUCACCACCUUUUUUCCACAGUAAUAUGUCAUUCGUCCAUUUGCAGCAAGUUUCUUAGAACGAAGGAUGAGAUUGAAUUAGACAAGCUUGAAGAAGAAAUACACAACAACAUAAUAGAAAUAAUCAAGGAAAGAGAAGAGAAGGUAAUGAAAGGAGAAAAAGACGGAUUUGGGAGUGAUUUUCUUGGAUUGCUUUUAAAGGCUCAUCAUGAUGCCAACACCAGCCAGAGGAUUACAGUGGAUGAUUUUGUUGAUGAGUGCAAAACAUUUUAUUUUGCUGGGCAAGAAUCCAAUAAUAGUUUUCUUGCUUGGAUUGUUUUGCUUCUAGCAAUCCACACAGAUUGGCAAGAAGCAGCAAGAAAGGAGGUGCUCAAUAAUAAGGCCAUGAAAAUCCAAAUCCAGUAGGCAUUGCAAAACUAAAAACAGUAAGUAACAGACUCAUACUUAUUGCAAAACUGCAU
Long non-coding RNA from Ziziphus jujuba (common jujube), 1177 nucleotides. RefSeq lists it as uncharacterized. The record is from RefSeq and is a predicted model, not a curated record. NCBI's taxonomy places the organism in Eukaryota, Viridiplantae, Streptophyta, Magnoliopsida, Rosales, Rhamnaceae. The transcript is spliced from 3 exons.